ACGGAGGGUGCGAGCGUUAAUCGGAAUUACUGGGCGUAAAGCGCGCGUAGGUGGUUCUGUAAGUCGGAUGUGAAAGCCCAGGGCUUAACCUUGGAAUUGCAUCCGAUACUGCAUAACUAGAGUAUGGUAGAGGGAAGUGGAAUUUCCGGUGUAGCGGUGAAAUGCGUAGAUAUCGGAAGGAACACCAGUGGCGAAGGCGACUUCCUGGGCCAAUACUGACACUGAGGUGCGAAAGCGUGGGGAGCAAACAGG
This 252-nucleotide ribosomal RNA is filed under the name uncultured bacterium. RNAcentral describes it as "partial 16S ribosomal RNA". It matches the Rfam family "Bacterial small subunit ribosomal RNA", at positions 525 to 776 of the family's 1533-position model. The record is from RNAcentral.